AGAUGUUACUUUUGAUGUCGGUGCUACAGGUUUCUCUUCAAGUGCUAGUUCUUCAUGUGUUUCCUCCCCUGCUAGCUCUUCAGUUUUUUCUUUCGAUGUUGGUUCUUCAGGUUCCUCUUUAACCUCUGGUACAUCAUGUUUCUUUUCAAUAACUAAUUCUUCAGGUUUUUCUUCAACUUCAACUGCUGGUUCUUCGAGUUUUUUCUCAAUUUCUGGAAAGUGAGCAGUAUUGUUGUUGGUAUUGCAUGGAAUUUCAUUAUCAGUUUUGUCCUUAGAGUCUACAACUAGCAAAUUCUGCAAGAAGUAUUUAAAGUUUCACUUAGUCUUUUGUAGAUAAGCAGAUGUGAAUUGUUACACUUACAUAACUAAUAGGAUGGAUAAACUUUAUCACAGUGCCUGACCCUCGCCUUAUCCAAAAGAGUUACCUUUUCAGAUUUCUCUUCAAAUGCUAGUUCAUUUGGUGUUUCUUCCCGUGUUGGUUCUUCAGGUGCUUCUUCAGUUACCCUUUUUUCUGGUUUAUCUUCAACUGUUGGUUCUUCUAGUGUCUCCUCAAUCGAUGGUUCUUCAAGUUUCUCCCUUGGUGCUAGUUUUUCAGAUUUAUCUUCAACUGUUGGUUGUUCAUGUUUAUUCUCAACCGCUGAUUCUUCAGGCUUCUCCAAAACCGCUGAGUCUUCAGAUUUCUCUUCAAUUGUUGGUUCUUCAUGUUUUUUUUCAACUACUGGUUCUUCAGUUUUUUCCUCAACUGAUGCAUAAUCAGCAAUAUCUUUGCUGGUAUUGCAUGGAAUUGCAUUUUCUGUCUUGUUCAUUGGGUCUACUAUUGGCGAAUUCUGCAAAAAAAUUUAAAGUUUCUUUUAGUCUUUCAAUAGAUAAACAGAUGUAAAUUCGUUGCGCACAUAAAGCUAAUAUGAUGGAUAAACUUUGUGACUGUUUAAUCCUCACAUUCUCCUGAAGAGCUUCCAUUUCAGGUUUCUCCUCUUCAAUUGCUGGUUUUUCAUCAUUCUCUUCAACCACUAGUUCUUCAAGUGUAUCUUCAACCGUUGGUUUUUCAGGUUUCUCUUUAAGGGUUUCCUCCCCUGCUAGAUCUUCAGAUGUUUCUCUUUCUGUUGGUUCUUCAGGUUUCUCUUCAGCCUCUGGUUUCUUAAUUUUUUCCUCAAAUGAUUCUUCAGAUUUCUGCUCAACUGUUGGUAAAUCAGGUUUCUCUGGUUCCUCGGGUUUUUCUUCAACUGCUGGUUCCUCAACUUUUGCAAAGUUAGCAGCAUCGUUUAGGGUAUUGCAUGGAAAUUCUUUGUCAGUUUUGUUGUUUGAGUCUACAGCUAGCAUUUUCUGCUAGAGGAAUUUAAAGUUUCAGUUAGUCUUUAAGUAGAUAAGCAAAUAUGGACUGUUGCACAUACAUAACUAAGACAAUGGAUAAACUUUGUGCCAGUGCUUGAUCCUCACCUUUUCCAAGAGAGUUACCUUAUUAGGUUUCUCCUCUUUAACUGCUGGUUUUCCACCUUUCUCUUCAACUGCUAGUUGUUCUGUUGUUUCUUCAACUGUUCGUUCUUCAAGUUUUUCUUUGAAUUCUAAUUUUUCCGGUGUUUUUUCCCGUGUUGGUUCUUUUGGUGUUUCUUCAACUACUAGUUCUUCGAGUUUCUCUUCAGCUGCUGUUUUUUCAAAUUUCUCCUGAACCUCUGUUUCUUUCUCUUGCACAACUGGCUCUUCAGGGUUUUUUUCAACUUCUGGUUCUUCAUGUUUCUCUGUAACUGUUGGUUCUUUAUGUUUCUCUUCAAUCAUUGGUUCUUCAUGUUUUUCUUCAACUGCUAGUUCUUCAGAUUUUUCCUCUACUGCUGGAUGGUCAGCAACAUCUUGGUUUCCCUUCUCGAUUAAGUUGUUCCCGUGUUUCCCGCUCGUAUCUGAUUCAGCAUCAUCUAAUCUAGUUUCUUCGACAACGUUAAUAAAUGAGUUACCAAGCACAAAUUGUUCUUGUACCAUUCGACCGUCAUCCUUGUCCGAGCUAGUUGCUGAUUCUUUUGCAUUUUCUGGGUAGCCAUUUGAAGAAAUAUUUUCAGCUGGGCUGAUUUCUACUCUUUCAUCUUCUGUUUUCUCCCCCUGGUGGAAUGAACUCCCGAAGAUCUGUUCAUCUGACUUGUUUGGUGUAUCGACUGACACAUGGACCUCUAUUGAACUGCCAUUUUCUUCAACAGCCUUGGAAACUAAGGGUGAUGCAUAAAAAAUUUCACCCCCAGUGAUUCCAUAGUUACCUUUAGUCAGAUCCUUAAUACUUGCAACCUCUGAAGCUCUUUCAAAUUCAGAUUGUGAAUGGCCCUUCUCGUCUUUCUCCAUCUUCAGUUUGUCUGAUAUUGUAUACACUUCCCCUAGCAAAUUCUCUUUUUUUUCCUGCAUAAAGGAAUGAUUUUUGCUAUGUCGUUACAGAAUUAAGAGAAAAUGUGUUUAACUUAUCUAACAUUGGCAGAGCAGCACUGAAGUUACAACAGGAUAUUUGUCAGACUAACCCUGCGAUAUUGGAACUGCAUGUAUUAGCAAGAUCUCUGUUUUAUCAUUGAAAUGGAGUUACUAACCCAAGCCUAGUGGUAAAAGCCGCAGAUGUCCCAACAUAGGACCUAUUCAGUAAACCCAUGUUUGAGAAUCCCCCCAGAAAGAGUUGCUAUUACUCUUCCCUGUAUUAACCAAUUAAUCUCCAACAGGACCUAUUUACUCUUCGUAUAAUGUAUCAGAUAUUCUUCAUUGGCGUAAAGAGACUGCAACAGUAUGGAGGGAGGUGAUUAGGAAUGAUAUGGAGCAGUUACAGCUUACGGAGGACAUGACCCUUGAUAGGAAGGUGUGGAGGACGCGGAUUAGGGUAGAGGGUUAGGGGGUGGGAGUGCGUCGGUAUCAGUAGGGGAGCGUUCUUUUGUGUCUAGAGUUUCUUGUUCGUGGUGUUGUGGCUGUAGUAUUAUCUUGGGGCUAGCGGUGUUAGUUUAUUUUGCAUACCGUACUAGCUUAUAUGCACUUAUCUUUUGUGUUUGUUAUAUUGUUGGUUUAUUUUGCAUACCGUACUAGUUUACAUGUACUUAUCUUUUGUGUUUACUAUACUAUUAUCGGUCCUAAGCCGGGGUCUAUCGGAAACAACCUUUCUACCUCUCUACCUCACCUGAGGUAAUGGUAUGGUCUGCGUACACUCUACACUCCCUAGACCCCACUAUGUGGGAAUAUACUGGGUAUGUUGUUGUUGUUGUUGUUGGCGUAAAGAGACUGCAGUAUUAAACAAUAGGAAAAACAAUGCAGGAAUACUUCUACCUACAAUAUUUGAAGUUUGUGAAAAGUCGAUGAGAUACUGUUUAUUGCAUGUACAAGUGAUGUGUUAGUGGCUUCUAAAGAAAGAUAAAUUUUGAGUUAUCAGUUGGGUAAAUACAGAUUAGUUCGUCAGUUGGGGGCUUAAGUUAUUUACUUCUGAGAGUAUAUAUAUUAAUUACCAGUAGCAUGUUUCUAGAUUAGCUUGAUGUGACAAAGAAGUUAUAUAGAGAAUUUGAAGUGUUGGUGUCAAACAGUCAUGAUAAUCCAAUUACCUCUAACAUUUUCCGUUAAGUGUUUCUAAAAUAUGAGAAUAUUGAUUUGAAAUGUAUAUUUAUAAUUUCUCCAUGUAAGAACUUGAGUGGAACAAUUCUCCUUCCAGGCUAACUAGAUGUCGUCUCACACAAUUAAAAUGAGGAACACGUUGUUGUUCUAAGCUCAUGUUCGCUCCUCAAAACUAACACCUCAGACCAUACUAAACUUCAUUUCAGAAUAUGACAGCUAAUGUUAAAAUGAAGUAUUCACUUUCUCCUUGCUAAAGCUACCACAAUCUGUUAUGGAGUCGGGGCAAUACAAUUAACAAGAAAAUGAAUCUUUAGUUACACCCAAACUCAGCCUUUGUUUCCCUAUAGUUCUCUUUCGACCACAAGCUAUAAUUUUCUUUUAAUUAAACCAGUAUCUUUCAAUGCUAAUUUAUUUACGAAGAGUUUUUUUGAAAGUCAGAUUUCAUUAAUUCGUUUCUGUGCUAAUUUAAGUUUUCCCUAGGUAUUCUUUUUGUCAAUAUCUAUAUUCUAUAGUCUUUUGGAGAGGGUCAAGUUUUCAGUACUACAUUAUUAAAGGUGAGUAGUUGAGAAUUAAUAAUUGUGCUGAUUUGUUUCUGUGCCAUUUCUUUUUAGGCUAGCUUUGGAUGGCUUCAGGAGGAGUAGAGGUAGGCGAAAGAAAUACUGGAGGGAGGUAAUUAGGUAGGACAUGAAGUUGUUUCAGCUUACUGAGGACAUGACCCUAGACAGGAAGGUGUGGAGGUCGUGGAUUAGGGUAGAAGGCUAGUGUGAGUGGGUGGGUUGUGGCUAGGUGUUAGUAGAGUUUGGGUGUGAUAGGUGUCUUAGGUCUGUGAAUGUGUGUGACUACUACAUGGGUAUCCGUUUUCCUUAUUUCUUAUUACGUAUUGUUCGUUGUUCUCUUAUUUUCUUUUCUCGGAUAUCUAGUGUUAUUAUUUCUUACCUUUUAUUUUGUUAUGCUACCCAUCCAGUUUUAUAUUUCAUUACGAUCUUGGUAUAUUAUUCUAUAUCUUGAGCCGGGGGUCUAUCGGAAUCAACCUCUCUACUUCCUCGGAGGUAGCGGUAUGGACUGCGUACAUUUUACCCUCCCCAGACCUCACUUUGUGGGAAUACACUGGGACUGUUGUUGUUGUUGUUGUUGUAUUACCCCUCCAUACAUACACAUAUAUAGAAGUCAAGUUGCUAUUGCCUAAGAAGAAGAUCAACUAAAAUAUAGAACAUACAGCCAGGAACUUGUAUGUUAUCUCAGGAUCGAGUUUUUAUUGUAAAAUAAACAAUUUGAACCAGUUGAAUAUCUACUAAUUGUAGAAAUAACAUACAAGUUCCGAAAAUAGGAAACCUCUAUUAAAUGAUGGGCAAAUCUAAACAAAUUUUCUUUUUUCAUCGAAGACUGCAUGGCAGUAAUUUUAGAUGAAGACGGUAACCCUUAAUUCGGUUCUUUAGCGACCAUCUUUGUGGUUUGAAGAAAAUUGGUAAUGAUCUGGUAAAGUUAUUUCACUAGCAUACUUCAUAUUACACAGUUGUUUCAGAUAUGAUCUCUGAUCAUGCAGUGUCUUUUUUCUCAGAAAAAGGUCUUUUCACAUACAUGAAAGCAAUCUUGACUACUGAAAAAAAGAUGUAGAAGUAACUGUUGCGGCUAAUGGAAAUGAUAAACACGCAAAAUGAUGAAGUAUCAUGCUCACAUAAAGUAAAACAAGUGAGUUAACUUACGCUUUUGUUCUCUGGUAUUUCAGCUAUGUAUUCCAAUUCUCGUGAGCUGAUCGCUGAAUUGCUGUGUUUACGUUUUCUCAACCUCCCUAAAGACUAUCAGAGUGUGUUUUGUACAACUGAACUGGACUGAAAAUUCUCAUAGCUAUAAGUAGAGAUUCUCUAAGUAUGUCGAUGCAGGAUUACAAUAGUUAUAUAAUUAUUAAUUGAUGACCAUGUUGUUAAAGUAGAUAGAAAAUGACAAAUCCACUUGCUAAUCCUACUAAUAUUAUGAGUUGGAAAUAGACGUGGUCCUUUUGAAUGAUGAGUAGUCACAUGCCCCUCUAGUAUAGCUUUUCUAGUCAUCAAACAGUCAGAUAAUUGUUUCUAAUUUAUAACUGCAGGGAUUGUGCUGCUGACAAGAAGAAACUGCCACAAGAAUUUACUGUUCACUUCAUCCCAGGUUAUGGUUAUAAAUUCCUUU
RNAcentral lists this long non-coding RNA (5718 nucleotides) under Capsicum annuum. RNAcentral's name for it is "long non-coding RNA (CANN_LNC003850)". The record is from RNAcentral. Lineage: Eukaryota; Viridiplantae; Streptophyta; Magnoliopsida; Solanales; Solanaceae.